UACGAAGGGGGCUAGCGUUGCUCGGAAUCACUGGGCGUAAAGGGUGCGUAGGCGGGUCUUUAAGUCAGGGGUGAAAUCCUGGAGCUCAACUCCAGAACUUCCUUUGAUACUGAGGAUCUUGAGUUCGGGAGAGGUGAGUGGAACUGCGAGUGUAGAGGUGAAAUUCGUAGAUAUUCGCAAGAACACCAGUGGCGAAGGCGGCUCACUGGCCCGAUACUGACGCUGAGGCACGAAAGCGUGGGGAGCAAACAGG
This 253-nucleotide ribosomal RNA is filed under the name uncultured bacterium. RNAcentral's name for it is "partial 16S ribosomal RNA". It matches the Rfam family "Bacterial small subunit ribosomal RNA", at positions 524 to 776 of the family's 1533-position model. The record is from RNAcentral.